Molecule: long non-coding RNA, 672 nt
Filed under: Vigna radiata
Lineage: Eukaryota; Viridiplantae; Streptophyta; Magnoliopsida; Fabales; Fabaceae
Description: long non-coding RNA (VRAD_LNC003252)
Source: RNAcentral
AACACAUAACAGGAAAUCCAAUCACGCAGAGACAUCAACCCAUCAAGUAAUUCAUAAAAAUUAAGAUUCAAUAGAUAUUCUCAACAAUUUCAAAAACAUUCAAGAGAUAACACAUUUAUAUAAUUUUGGCUCCCCUUACCUGGUGGGAUGCUUAACUUAGUUCACAGAUGCUCUACAGUACCCUCCUACAACGUUCGAAAAUGAACAGAACCUAGAAAUCACCAAUUUGGUGAUAGGACAAGCUUCUUUUAGAGCUGGAAUAUAAUGGAAAGAAAAAGAAAAAAAAAACGUGGAAAGUACAUGCAACCAGAAAAAUUGGUUGCUCUAGUUCAAGAACAGAAAAGAAGAAUAGGAGAAAUUUUCUUACCCGACGAAACGAGAAACCAAUCAGAUGGUUUCGUAGCCCUUGACUCCAGGAGCAAUAAUAUGCAAUCAAAUCACAACUCUAACGGUGGAAUAUGCUGGAAAUCUAGAGAGAAGUGAGAGCUUGAGUUAGGGCAAUGUUUCUGUUUUUGAGAGAGAAAAGAAAUUGGAGAAAUGAAAAUUCUGAAGCUGGGGAAGGGACCCCUCUCUUGGCCAUGUGCCCAAUACGAAUGGGCCUGGGGUCUUUCCAGAGGCCCAAUAGCCUUAUAAGUUAUGGGGUCCUUACACAGAUAAUGUCCUACAACCCCG